This is an RNA transcript of Camelus dromedarius (Arabian camel), 5046 nucleotides long. It is a transcript of the gene named putative N-acetylated-alpha-linked acidic dipeptidase, with no coding region annotated. The record is from RefSeq and is a predicted model, not a curated record. Lineage: Eukaryota; Metazoa; Chordata; Mammalia; Artiodactyla; Camelidae. The transcript is spliced from 12 exons.
UAAACAGACACAUACAGACACAAGGAAAACAGAGUAUGUAGCUUCAGUAACAGUUUAAGAGAAAAGUCAGAAACAGAAAUUUUCCCUGGUCAAAAUAUCAAAAAAAGCAUCUGGGGCUUAUAUCCUUUAAUUGAUUUGAGCUCUAAAUGGACAAAUACACAAUUUUUUUUUUUAAUUGCUAAGAACAAGAUUCUUUUUCACGUUGAAUAAUGAUUUUGAAGUUUAAAUAAAUACCAACAAUAGAGCUAUGAGGGAGGAAAAAUAUAAAAUACUGAUUUUUUUUUUUAAUCUCACCGUAAGGUGCAUUCUUAAAUACAUAGGAGAGAACUGUCAUGAUUUGCGCAACUCGCUUGCAAAUAGUUCAACAGUAUUAACAAUGAUUGAAUUUAGAUGGUGGGCAUAUGGGAAUUUAUCAUCCUAUUAAACAGUUUUCUGUACUUCUGAGACUUAGAAUAAAACAUUGGAAGGAACCUGUUAGACAUAAUGCUCUAUGUGAAGUAAUUUGUUCCCUUUGUGAAAUUCUAGGAAGGUUAAAAUGCAUGUUCAUAACAUCAAGAAAAUCACAAGCAUUUACGAUGUAAUCAGAACUACCUGAGGAUCUGUGAAACUUGGUGUGUUAUUCUGGGAGAUCAUCAGGACUUCUGGGUAUUUGGAGGUACUGACCUAACCAGUGGAACUGCUGAUUUAUAAGAAGUUGUCCAGAAUUUUGGAAAACUGAUUAGUAGAGGCUGGAGACCGAGAAGAACUACCAUUUUUGCCAGCUGGGAUGCAGAAAAAUUUGGACUUCUGGGUUCCAUAAAUGGGCUGAGCUCUGUCAUAAUGGAAACUCUGCAGCAGAAUCAGCUGUCAUCUAUCCCGUGUGGCCAAGUGCAGAGGAGAAUGUGAAAACACUCCAGGAGAGAGAGGUUGCAUAUAUCAAUGCAGACUCAUACACAGAAGGCAAUUAUACUCUCAGAGUUGACUGUACACCCCUUCUUUUCCAGUUGGUAUAUAAACUGACAAAAGAUGUAUUGGAGGAAUCAGACAUCAUUCAUCUGGAGAAAUGCUGUUGGUUGCUGAGGGCUCAAUCCCGAACUGGAUGAUUUGACUUAGAGACAUUUGGCCCAUUGGCUUCACCACCAAUUUGUCCAUCUCUGAGUGAAGGUUUAUUUAAUGCUUUUGGUGAAAAUCAUGACAGCCACAUAGAUUUUAAGGAGAUAUCCUGUGGGUUAUCAGCUUGUUGCAGAGGACCUCUGGCUGAAAGACAGAAAUUUUGCUUCAAGGUAUUUGAUGUUGACGGUGAUGGAGUUCUCUCUAGGGUUGAACUGAGAGACACGUGGUUGCACAUUUAGAGGUCUGGAAGGACAACUGCACCGAUGAUACCCUGGAAUUACAUGUGGAUGUAUCCAACAUUGUAGAAGACACAUAGAAUGCACGACACCACAAAGAAUGGCCAUCUUAACUCUAGAGGAAUAUCAUAUCUGGAGUGUGAAAAAUGUUCUUGCCAAUGAGUUUUUGAAUCUACUUUUCCAGAACUUGACAAGCUGAUUCUAAAUACAUAGAGAAGCGUGAAGGGCCAACAAUAGCCAAGAUGAUAUUAAAGAACAAUGUUAAAGGACUUAUAAAACAAUAUUAAGUCUAUGUGAUAACUACCUAAAGUUAGACAUAUAGACAAAUGGAACAGCAUUGAAUUAAACCCUGUACCAUACAUGAACAGUAACUUUAGAUAGAUUAUAAAUCUAAUAUAUUUGAAACAUAAAGCAAAGCAUCUGGGGGAGGGUAAAGCUCAGGUGGAAUGUGUGCUUAACAUGCAUAAGGUCUUGGGUUCAACUCCCAGUACCUCCAUUAAAAUAAAUAACCUAAUCCCCCACCAAAAUAAAGCAUCUAGAAAAUAGUGUAGGAGAUAUUUUAAUGACUUUGAAGUGGCAAAGUGUUCUUAAACCGGACAAAGCAUGAAACAUAAAAGAAGAGUUUUAAGUUGGACUUCAGUAAAAUUAAGAAUUAUUUUUAUCAAGAGAUACCAUUAAGAAAGUGAAAAGCUAAGCCACACGGUGGGAAAAUAUAUUUGCUAUACCUAUAUCCAACAAAAGACUUGUAUCUAGGGCAUAUAAAGAACAAAAACCAGUGGAGAAAAAGGCAGAACCUCAAUAUUAAAAUAUGCAAAAUAAUUGAAAAGGUGCUUCACACACACACAAAAAAAUCCACAUAAGCUAUGAAAAGGGGCUGACCUCUUUAGUAAUAAUGGAAAUACGUACUAAAACCACACUUGGAACACCAUUAGACAUCCAGUAGAAUAGUUAGUUGUUAAGUGAUAUGAAGCAUUGGUGAGGGCAACAAGCAAUGGGGACUCUUACACAUGGCCAGUGGGAAUAUAAAUUCUUACAAAUACUUUGGAAAUAGGCUUUUUGAAUGAAAGUUAUAUGUGUGUGUGUGUGUGUGUGUAUAUGUACACACAUACACAUACACACACACCCACACCCUAUUACCAAGGGUAACCCAUAUGUGUACCCUUCAGAAACUUCUACAUCUGAGCACCAAAGGACAUCCAGAAAAUUCCCAUAAUCACUAUUUGUUAUACCCCCAAAUAGAAAAUGACCCAAACACUUGUCAACAAUAAAUACAUAACCAUAAGUGGUGGCACAUGCAUACAAGUUGUAUACUUUAAAGCAAUAAAAAAUAUACUAGUUUACAGAAAACACUAGUGGAUGAAUCUUACAUAAUGUUGAGUGGAAAGUACGGGACCAAAAAUUUCAAAAGCAAAAAAACCAAUCCAUGGUGGCUGAAUUUAGGAUGGUGAAUCCAUCAAAGGGGUGCCGUAGUAACUGGGAAGAAACCCAAAUUGGAACAGCAAUGUCCUGUUUCUUGACUGGAUGAAGGUUACAUAGAUGUGUUUACUUUGUGAAAAAUCAUUGAGCUGUAUACUUAAGAUGUGUUCACAUUUAAGCAUGUAUAUUAUAUUUGCAUUUUUUUAAAAAAAGUUUGCUUGCAAAAAAAGAUAUCCAAAGCCCAAGUAUUUAUCAGUAGGAGAAUGGAUAAAACAAAUGAUAGUAUAUUCAAACAAUGGAAUACUACUCAACAAUAAAAAAGAAUCAACUACUGAUACAAGGAUGAACCUCAAAAGCCUAAUUUAUACAUUUCAUUGUCAGGUAAAUUUUAACUCAGAAGGUAAACAAAACUGUAAACAGUCAUGUGCCCUGGGGGGAGGGGUGCUGUAGCCUUUGUCUCCUCAGACCUGUGCCAUUACUGGCACAUCUCGCAAGAAGAGAGGCAGGGCUCAGCCACAGCUACCAUCUCCUCCUGUGCAUAGUGCCUGGGCGGGGGUGGGGCUGAGGCCUGAAUCUGCACGUGGGGGCUCCACAACCUCCUAGGCAGGACUGAGACUUGUUUAUAGCCCGAGGCAGAGAGGAUCUUUCUACCCUGACACCUCAGAGAACUUGUGCUGCCAAGAGAAACAAGGAGCUAAGAUUUGGCACAGAGCAUAGGUGGGGCUGUUCCGCAGUCUUCCCCGAGCCCACCUACAGACCGCCUACCCAAGGCAGAGCAGGCAGCUGCACAGAGCAGCAGAGUGACCAGCACGAGGAGAGGGCAGGUGGGCAGCCACCCACCUUCCUGGCAGGAACACAGCACCUGACCACGGUGCUGGGACUGGGUGUGAUCUGCCCACCUGCCUCCCCCUGAUCACAGCAUCUGACUGUGGCAUCAGGAGGGGGAGUGACCUGCCCGCCCACCGGGUAAGAGCUCAGCUCCUGACCUUGUGUUAGGAGGGGACACAAUCUGCUAGCCAAUAGCCACUGAGAGCAGCACAGAUGAGGGCGCCAACAGAAGGCCUAUGAAACAGCAAGCUGAGUUCGCGAAGCAGGGUGAAGAUACAAAGACUUGUCGAUUAAAUCAUUAAGGGCACACCAUCUCCAGGUUAAGUAGGUAACUGAUACUCCUUAAGCCACGGUGCCAGAGAGAUAUGAGCAAUGUGAAGAAGCAGAGAAACCACUCCCAAUUAAAGAUCAUGAGAAAUCCCCUGAAAGCAUGAUCAAGGAAAUAGACAUUGAUGGCCUACUAGAUCAAGGUUUCAAAAAAAGAGUGAUCAAAGUACUGAAGGAACUAAAAAAAAUAGUGUUUAGGGAUAUAAAAUAUGUCAAAAAUGAAAUAGAAACUAUAGAGAAGAACCAAGUAGAAUUAGUAAACUCAUUGUCUGAGAUGAGAGCUGACCUAAAGGCUGUGCAAAGCAGACUAGAAAAUACAGAAGAACAAGUAUGUGAUCUAGAAGACAGGACAACAGGAAGCACCCAAUCAGAACAGCUGAGAGAAAAACAAAUAAAAAACAAUGAAAACAAUAUACAGGACCUAUGGGGUAAUAUAAAGUGUGCCAAUCUAUGCAUAAUAGGAGUUCCAGAAGGGGAAAAAGAACAAAGGGGAUUGAAAAGGUAUGGGAAGGACUCAUGACUGAAAACUUCCCAAACCUAAAGAAGGAAUCAUAUCCAAGCACAGGAGGCUCAGAGGGUCCCAAACAGGAAGAACCCAAACAGACCCACACCAAGGCACAUCCUAAUCAAGAUAGCCAGAGUCAAGGAUAAAGAAAUGAUCCUAAAGGAAGCAAGAGAAAAACAGAGUGAGUUACAAGGGAACCCCCAUAAGGUUUUCAGCUGAUUUCUCUACACUAUUUACAACAGCUAAGACAUGGAAAUGACCUAAAAUGUCCAUGAACAGAUGACUGGAUAAAGAUGUGGGAUAUUUAUAUGAUGGGAUACUAUUCAGCCACAAAAACUGACAACAUAACGCCAUUUGCAGAGACAUGGAUGCUCCUGGAGAAUGUUAUUCUAGGUGGAGCAGAACAGAAAGAGAAAGAGGAAUACCAUAUGAGAUCACUCAUGUGUGGAAUCUUAAAUAUAUGCAAUGUCUUGUGGUAACACAGCAAAAAAAAAAAAAGUGACGAAUGUAUGUACGUUCAUGUAUAAAUGAAAAAUUGUGCUCUACACUGGAAUUUGUCAUAACAUUGUAAAAUGACUAUUACUCAAUAAAAAAUGUUUAAAAAUAAGUAAAAUAAAAUAUAACCUUUAAAAUACUGUAUAA